RNAcentral lists this unclassified non-coding RNA (645 nucleotides) under Hevea brasiliensis (rubber tree). The record is from RNAcentral. Lineage: Eukaryota; Viridiplantae; Streptophyta; Magnoliopsida; Malpighiales; Euphorbiaceae.
GUAAUUGGAUUCUUGUUGGGUAUCGGCGGCGGUGGUUGGAGGUGGGAUUUCGCGGAGGAAGAACAUGGCGAAGAGACAGACGGCGAAGGGGACAAAGGCGAGCAUGAGGAGGAAAGAAGAUGGGUCGGAGGAAAACAGAGCGGUACAGAGAUCGGUGAAAAUGGCGGUGCUGAGGCCGACGUAGCCUUUGAGAAUGCCGGAAACUGGGCCGCGAUUCUUCCGGAAGUUUCUGAUGCAAGUUACUAGCACCGCCGUGUUCAUCCAUGUCGUGCUGUUUCCGCCCAAACACAAGAAGAUGCACAUCUGCCAAUAAGGAAGAGGAGAAAUCCUUUGGCUAACGACAAGCCACUGAGCGCCAUAGCCAAGAAGACCUUCAAGAGAUCCAAUAAGCAAGAUCACCCAUGUGGGAAACCGGUCACAGGCGAUUCCGGCGAGAAGUCCGAAGGCUUUUCCGACGUCUUUAGCGACGGAGAGAUUAUUGAGCUGAAGUUGGGUUAGAUUCAUCAGAGAUUUGAGGGAGUCGGAGUAGUUGGAAAAAGUGUAGUUGUUUCCGGAAAUGGCCUGAACCCACACGGCGGAGACAAACCCCAGCCAUUUCAGCACCGUCGUCGAAGGCGGCAGCUUCAAAGAACCCAUCAAUUAUUU